AGGAAAUCGAUGAGGAAUCGACCGCCCGCCGUCGGCUGCAGGCAGUGUUGGUUGCAGUUCUGCCCCCGCCUGCGAUGCACGCAGUCGCAAUCUGUACGGUUCUGGUCCCCUCGCUCGUAGGAGUAGUAGGUGGUGGAAGCGGACGAGAAUAGACGAAAGGAACAGACACGCGAGACAGACAGACGGCGAGUGUGAAGGUAGCCUAAGAGCGCCGUCGCGCUCGCUCACGUACGGACGUACUGCGAUGCUGUGUACGCGUACGUCGUGCACCAGGAAGUGUCGUUGUCACCUGGUCACCCUCGCCCUUGCCGACUGAACUCUCGUGCCGCGGGCCAGCAUGCCAUCUUCGUCCAGUGACAUCCUCGCCUUGGCCAGAGAGGAGGCAUUCAAGGAUUUCUCCUAUUUCGACGAGGAGACUGUGCCCGUGAAUACCAGCAAGCCGAUCCCGCUACAACCGCUGAAACCGACCUCCGCCAUUAUUAUCACCGGAUACAUUCCUGAAAACGCAUCGAGGUUUGCGGUGAAUUUAACAUGCAAAACGUCCGGGAACAUCGCCCUGCAUUUCAACCCGCGACUCGACAGGGGAUAUAUCGUCAGGAACACGAAAGUACGUGGUUCCUGGGACGAGGAAGAGACCUGCUCGCCCGCCAGUCCGAGCGGAUGCAUAUUCCGCCGGAACACCUACGUGCAUAUCACAAUCUUCUGCACGAACAAUGCGUUUCAGAUCGCGGUGAAUGGAGAGCAUUUCUGCGCUUUCUCAUAUAGGAUAUCUCUCGAAGAGAUAAUGGCCCUCGAAGUUACUGGGACUAUCGAGGAUGUCAGGACCCGUCAGCUGAAUAUAUUUGUGUAUCCUGAUCCUUCCAUAUGCAGACCUUGCCGAACAUUGGUCCUGACAGUCGAGGAACCACUCGUGGAUUUUCUAGACGUCCCCAUUACUGUGGACAUCGGCAGCGAGUUUCGUGUCGGUUCUCGUUUAUUUAUCACCGGAAGAUUGAAGCUACUUCCACACUCGUUCUACGUGAAUUUGCAGAAGGGCAAAACCAUUUAUCCUCAUCCUGUAAUACCGCUGCAUUUAAACCCGCGCUUUCUUUACGGGAAUAGCGCGCCGUACGUUGUCAUGAAUUGCUGGACCAAUGGUGCGUGGGAACACGAAGAGCGACAUCCAGGACACUUAUCUUGGAUGCCUGGUCGAGACUUCCUGCUUACCAUUCGCUGUGAGUACGAAGGAUACACGAUAUGGCUGGGCAACAAGAUGAUCGGCGAGUUUAAGCAUAGACUGCAAUCGUCAAUCACGGACACUCUGCGAAUUUCUGGCGACAUCGUAUUGUACCAACUCAGCAUGAGCUACGCUUGAUGGGAGUCGAUCAAACAGCACGCAUAACACAGCAAUCAAAUAUGACAAUAUAAUUGCGGAUGGGAGAUCGUCUAUCGAUAAUCGUACAGACGUCGACCUCGCGAUAGAAUUGUGCUUACAAAUACAAGGGAAUACGGUUCUUCAACAUUUCCAACAGAUGGAAACUUUCUAAAGCUGCCACAGUCACAAUAAUGGUGAUCCGGAGGAUGCACAGACGCUUCUAUCACUUUUAUGACGAUGGGCCCACACAAAUCACAAGCAUAAGGGCCGAUUGUUCCAACUUCUUAAUAAGCUACCUAAUAAUUAAAUCAUGUAUCCGUCUCUGUCCAGUUUGAAGAAGAAACGAAGACAGACAUAUGAUUUAACUGUCAGGUAGAGCUUACCAAAAAGUUGGAACAAUCGGCCCUAAGAGAGGAGGAGACGGAGGAGGAGGAGGAUUGUCCUUUCGGCAUAAUAGAAAGAUCAUAUCAACCUCGUGUUUUUCUUGCUUUAAACGCCAGCGUGAAUUGUUAUACGACCAGUAGUGGUAAAUUUUUCUAUGCGUAUUUGUUUUUUUCUCUUGUUAUAUUCAAACGAUUUAUCUAAGACUGUUAGACCAAUUAUAUGUGUAAUCGUAUGAAGGCUCUUCCAGCCAGAAAUAAUCCGCCGAAAUGUCAUUUCGACGUCGUUAAUGUCUGAAAUGAUUGAUUCCAUAUAUACGUAAUCUUUUGUUGUUCAAAAAUUUCAAAAUUUCGACGCAAAUUUCAAAUUCACUAUCUUCGAUAUUAAUGAUAUCGAAACAACGUUGUUUUGACAUAUCGCUUUUGGCUGAAAUGCGAAAAGUAACGAAGUGUGCAAAUUGCGCGGGCGAUUUUGCAAGAUAUUAGGAACCAAUUUUGAGGAGCAUGUAAAGAGUCACUUUUGAUACGACCUUUUGUAUAGUAGUGUAUCAUAAAUGUACUUUAAUCGUGUUUGUUUAUGAGAUGUAUACGAACAAAGAAGUGAUCGCGAGUCAAUAUAUUCUCGAUACGAUGCUGAGAUGUUCUUGCAUAGAGAUACUUUCGUCGGUAAUCAGGACCGUGUUUAUUAUUUCCGGGACCCUCACGAUAAAUAAGUGUUGUACUGACUAAUAAAUUUCGUGCGACAAAACAAGACUUCAAUGUCCAGAUAGCCAAAGAUGAUUAAGCAUUUUGAAUAAACUAAUGCACAGCAGGUAUUGUUAAAUGUUUGCUGUAUAUUUGUUAACACAACGUUUUCCGAACGGCAUCUCUGAGCGUUAUUUCGGGAGAAGAGAGUGUCGUGAGCGUGGAGAGUCAGAUAGCUCAGUAGUUUAGAGCAGUCGCCCGGCAAGCGAAAGACUCGGGUUCUCGAGUCCCGGCCUAGCGAAACUGCGCUUUCGAUAUUUUUCUCUCUCUGAAACGUUUUGUCAGCACGUUGUCAUGACAAAAAAUUUUUAACGGAUUACAAAUCUAUGUUGCUAUUAAUUUGCCGUUAUUUGAAUUAGAAUUCACAUGAGUUCAAUGCGACACACACAAUGCUGUCAUUUUGUUCCUAAUUUGUUUAAAUUAGUUCCUGUUUGUUGUCGACAGCACGACAGCAAACUCACAGACAGUUGGCUAUCUGGAUGUAUAUUCGUGAAAAUAUAUCCUUGCUCUUUCUUGUAUAUCGACCGAUCGUGCGUGAUCUAUAUCUGUUUUCUUUGAACCGAUACAACUGGAAAUUCCGUAGUCGUUCUAAUAACACAGGACCUGGCAACACCUUUGCCAGGAUACUAAGAUAACACCAAACGUGCCCGAAAUUAAAUACCGCCCGACCGAAAACAUGUUUGUAUAUGUAUACUUUGCAUUUGUAUAUUCUACGAGAGUUAUUUAUUUAUAUGAGAAUAAAACGGUAUCGGACAAUAAGUUGCGAUUUAUUUGCGUAUGUAUGUAGUAUAUAUUAGAUUGUCGAUGUACCGGAGCAAUUAAAAAAAAAGAAGAGUGGGGGAAGAGAGAGAGAGAGAAAGAAAAAAGAAAUUCGUCUAACAAACUAACUUAUGCACACUAUUGCCAUUGUUGCUAGAAUUAAGCAAAACAGCACGAAAGCGAUGCGAUCGACGGCCGUGCCUGCUAGAAUCCAUUCCAAUUGCGUGAUGUUCUUCGUCGGCGAGAUCAUAUUCUGUCGAUCACCGUCGUCCGAGAUGUUGGACGUCGAGUUGGUCGUGGAUUCCUCCGUGAGUUUGCCCCGCAAUUCCUGACCUGGUAUAGGCCGCCGCGACUCGAUCUGAAAAAUGAUCAAUAACGCCACCGAAUUAUAACGAUUGUCUCGUUUCUGUAAACGCGCAACGUCUUAACUCCGUAAUGACAAAAUUAUAAAAGUAAAACAAAAUGUGUUGAGUGAAAAAAGAAUUAUAAAAUCGCAGGAAUAAUAUUGCUGAGGUGCAAAUCACAUAAAAGUGCAUAUUCCAAGAUAUAUCCUUAACACUAGAAUGCGAGAAGGACAAUACUAGUUGGAUGUCCGAAAAAAUUAUUUUAACUCCUUGCGAUUUUAAAACUCUUUUUGUUCCUCAUUACUCGUGUCAAUCAUAAUUUCUAAACAUGCUAAAAACAUAAUUUGCAAAAUAUACACAUUUUAUGUAUUGUAAACAAAUUAUAACAAAUUAUAAUUAAA
This is an RNA transcript of Odontomachus brunneus, 3982 nucleotides long. It is a transcript of the gene named galectin-8-like, with no coding region annotated. The transcript has 8 exons. Lineage: Eukaryota; Metazoa; Arthropoda; Insecta; Hymenoptera; Formicidae. The record is from RefSeq and is a predicted model, not a curated record.